This 492-nucleotide ribosomal RNA is filed under the name uncultured bacterium. RNAcentral's name for it is "partial 16S ribosomal RNA". It matches the Rfam family "Bacterial small subunit ribosomal RNA", at positions 29 to 507 of the family's 1533-position model. The record is from RNAcentral.
AGUGAACGCUGGCGGUAGGCCUAACACAUGCAAGUCGAACGGCAGCACAGUAAGAGCUUGCUCUUCCGGGUGGCCAAUGGCGGGCGGGUCAGGAGUACAUCGGGAUCUUCUUUUUCGUAGAGCAUCACGUAGGUAAACUUACGCUCGUACCGCAUCCGCCCUACGGUGGAGAGCAUGGGAUCUUCGCAGCUUGCGCGAUUGAAUGCGCCGAUGUCGGAUUAGAUAGUUGGCGGGGUAAAUGCCCACGCAGGCGACGAUCCGUAGCUGGACUGAGAGGAUGGUCAGCCACACUGGAACGUAGACAGGGUCCAGAGGACUACGGGAGGCAGCAGUGGGGAAUAGUGGACAAUGGGCGGAAGCCUGAUCCAGCCAGACCGCGCGGGUGAAGAAGGCGCUGGGUGUGUAAAGACCUUUUGUGGGGAAAGAAAAGCAGCAGCUUAAUACCCAGCUGUUCUGACGGUAACCAAUGAAGAAGCACCGGCUAACUUCGUG